GAUGAACGCUGGCGGCGUGCCUAAUACAUGCAAGUCGAGCGAAAAGACGAGGAGCUUGCUCCUCUGACGUUAGCGGCGGACGGGUGAGUAACACGUGGAUAACCUACCUAUAAGACUUGGAUAACUUCGGGAAACCGGAGCUAAUACCGGAUAAUAUAUUGAACCGCAUGGUUCAAUAGUGAAAGACGGGUUUGCUGUCACUUAUACCUGGAUCCGCGGCGCAUUAGCUAGUUGGUAAGGUAACGGCUUACCAAGGCAACGAUGGGUAGCCGACCUGAGAGGGUGAUCCGCCACACUGGAACUGAGACACGGUCCAGACUCCUACGGGAGGCAGCAGUAGGGAAUCUUCCGAAAUGGGCGAAAGCCUGACGGAGCAACGCCGCGUGAGUGAUGAAGGUCUUCGGAUCGUAAAACUCUGUUAUUAGGGAAGAACAAAUGUGUAAGUAACUAUGCACGUCGUGACGGUACCUAAUCAGAAAGCCACGGCUAACUACGUG
This 497-nucleotide ribosomal RNA is filed under the name uncultured bacterium. RNAcentral describes it as "partial 16S ribosomal RNA". It matches the Rfam family "Bacterial small subunit ribosomal RNA", at positions 28 to 507 of the family's 1533-position model. The record is from RNAcentral.